This is a long non-coding RNA of Oncorhynchus tshawytscha (Chinook salmon), 1489 nucleotides long. RefSeq lists it as uncharacterized. The transcript is spliced from 2 exons. The record is from RefSeq and is a predicted model, not a curated record. Lineage: Eukaryota; Metazoa; Chordata; Actinopteri; Salmoniformes; Salmonidae.
GUAGUGCUGGGCUGGUGGGGAGGUAGUGCUGGGCUGGUGGGGAGGUAGUGCUGGUGAUAUGUGAUCAUAUAACAGAGCUGAGUGACUCGGUGAAUAGAGAGGAGAGGGCUUAGAACUUAGCCCUGGGGGACUCCAGUAAUGAGAGUACGUGGUGCAGACACAGAUCGUCUCCACGUCACCUGGUAGGAGAGACCUGCCAGGUGUCAUGUAAUCCAGGAGUGUGCAGAGCCUGAGGCGCCCAAACCUCUUCAACCAUGCAGUGAAGGGUAGCAAACAUGAUUUGCUUUCUUCGUCAUGAAAUUAUCAACUUUACCCUUUAAAUUAAAAAUUAAAAAAUGAGCCGUUUGGGUUUUGUGGUCAGGCCAAGUGUUUUGAGAGUCACCCGGAAGAUAGCCGUGGACUAAUUUUGUCAUUUAGGUUAGGACAUCUCUUAAAGGGUCGGACAUCUCUUAAAGGGUCGGACAUCUCUAAAAGGGUCGGACAUCUCUAAAAGGGUCGGACAUCUCUAAAAGGGUCGGACAUCUCUAAAAGGGUCGGACAUCUCUAAAAGGGUCGGACAUCUCUAAAAGGGUCGGACAUCUCUAAAAGGGUCGACAUCUCUAAAAGGGUCGGACAUCUCUAAAAGGGUCGGACAUCUCUUAAAGGGUAGGACUGGUGGCUCAGUGAAAGACUUGGCUUAGUAGCGUAUCACUUUGGAUGAUUUCCCCCAAUUAUUUUUAAUUAUUCUUUUUUAGAAUGUUUUCUGGUUCUGUGAUAUAUUAUCUAACACAUGUGUCGUCCCGGCUCUUAUAACUGCAUCUUUCAGGAUCUGAGCGCCGUAACAGCGAUUCUCCAAUUCAGCAGAUUUGACACCGUGGUCUUGUUUCUUGAUCGCAAAUUCUGUGGGCUCUUUGGAAUUGGCCAUUUUGAAAUGUUCUCUUUUAGCCUUUUUGGGGGGGGGUGAAAGCUGUCUUGCCCUCAGGAUGGUAUUCCCAUCUGUAGGCUUCCUAAGGAUUGAUGUCAUUUUUAGUGAUCUCAAGGUCCCAAAAAUAUGUGUAGUUGUCCUUGCUGUACUCCAUAGUUUGCUGUUAUGGUUAAUUCUGUUAUGGUAUUGGUGGAAGGAAAAAGGAAAUAAACGCAUCUUCUCAGCCAGAUCAGAACAGGCAAACUUUAAUAUAGCGUCUCCACCACCAUAUAAUCCUGUCGAAUAACUGUUGUUUCCAAAGGAUCCAAAAUGAAGUCAUUUUCCCAUUUCCUUAAGUAGAAACCAGCUUAAGAAGAGCUGUAAGCAAGCUCCCAGUUAAGUAGAAACCAGCUUAAGUAGAAACCAGCUUAAGAAGGGCUGUAAGCAAGCUCCCAGUUAAGUAGAAACCAGCUUAAGAAGGGCUGUAAGCAAGCUCCCAGUUAAGUAGAAACCAGCUUAAGAAGGGCUGUAAGCAAGCUCCCAGUUAAGUAGAAACCAGCUUAAGGGCUGUAAGCAAGCUCCCAGUUAAGUAGAAACCAGCUUAAG